Gallus gallus (chicken) is the source of this 1722-nucleotide long non-coding RNA. The record is from Ensembl. Lineage: Eukaryota; Metazoa; Chordata; Aves; Galliformes; Phasianidae.
UUUUUGGAGGUCACUCCUGUUGGAGUUUUUCCUGAGAGCCUAUGACUUGGAUGAACAGCUUGCAAGUUAAGGUCACAAAUCCAUGAUCAUCUCUCAACAAAAAAAGAGUAUCUAACACGUCAUUAGACAGAAGCUACCAACUGUUUGACCUGAUCUUAAACAUGGAUUCAUCUCUAACAAAGAUCAUGUUAUUAAGGAGUAUCAUCUAUCAGAAGAGCCUUCAGCACCUCGGAAGGUGUGUGUUGUCUUUCUUCUCUGGGGUAUCAAAGUGAUUCUUCUCCAACCACAAGGAACACAGCAGAUCAGUUCAAGGGCAAGGAUACUCAGGCCCAGAGUCAAUUCCCCUCAUCAAGGAACUUGUCACACUAGUUAUUAUUGAAAGCUACCUAUAAGAAAGUUUGAUAGCUCUUACAGAUACUUGCGCAUCAGGUGUUUUUGUUGCUCAUUUCCAGCUUACUCUGAGAAGAUUGCUCUCAUAAGGACCUGAAUCAAUGGUACCAGAUGAUUGUAUUGUGAAGGCCAGGUGCAGGAAAGAUACCAGAUUUGUGACUCUGAGGAACUUGGACAAAACGGGUGUACCCAUGGUUAUGGAUAUGGAAGUCUGGAUUCUACACAUGCUUUAUCCUGCUUUCUAGCAAGUAACAAAUAACCCAAAUAAGAUGAAUAGGUACUGAAGUGAACCUGACCUUAAGAUCCUCUGAUGGAUUUAGAAACUGGAAAAUGCUACCAGAAGAUACUGCCACAGUUUUUUAUUUGCAGUUGUGUAAAAUACUUAUUUAUAAUAGUUCCAUGUACCUGAGGGUAGGAACUUUCUUGGUUCUCUGUGGGCUUAAGACAGGUGCACUUUUGUGGUGAAGACCACUUCUGGCAUCUUAUUUGCCUGGUAUUGUGGGUACAAAAUAAAGCAACUCUGUUGGCCUGACGUGAAUUUCUUUUCUAUCUUCAUAGAAAAAAAUGACCAGACUAAACAAAAUAUGUGUUAAUUUCCAAGUUUUGCUAGAGAACUUUGACAGAAAGCUGUUCUUUCAAGAACAAGCUAGCAGCUAACACAAAUGGUAUGAGCAUGGAAAUGGGGCUAGAGUGGUGGAGAUCAUUCUCACAAGGCACUGUGUGUCAAAGAUUCACUGAAUUUUGGUUGGUGAAACAUGUUUUCUCUAAAUCACUUAAUACAAUCUACUUUCAUUGUGAGCAUGUGAGAAACAGAUUUAGCCUCUUGACCUCCAUGGCUUGGAACAGCCUGUGACAAUAACUUAAACUCUAAGGUAGAGAGAGCACUGGACUUCCUAGCAGCACAGAGCUCUAGCUACAAGGAAGUACACUGUGUGUGCUUUCUCUGAAGUGCAUGAUUGGGUCUGGAGAGAGACACUUUGACACAGACUGCUUUUGAGAACAGAUUGUAAAAGGCUUUGUUUCCAUUCCACUGCAAAAUGGCAAAAGACUUCAAAAUAUUGAAUAGUGUCAGGAAAUGGGCUUUCAACCUUUAGUUAAGCUUCCGUCAUCCCACUGCUCCAUUCAGAUUAAAUUAUUUUGAACAAAUAUUUUCAGGAGAACAGAGAAAAUAUAAAAAGUACUAUGUAAUACAUAGAAUGUUGUUCCAUAUGUCAGUGCUGUUUUACUUGUUAUACUCACUGUUAAGUUUAUGAGCAUCUUAUUGUUAUACAGCAUGAUGAAAAUGAAUUCUAAAUAGAGUAUCAAAAUUAAAAACAUAUGACGUCUGUUGAC